AUGCCUGUGCAACCGCUCGAUCAUCGUCGCUCAUUUUCAUGAGAGUAAGUGGUUCGUCCCACGAUGCUAGGCGAGUCUUCACAAAAAU
Streptococcus sp. HSISM1 is the source of this 88-nucleotide non-coding RNA. The record is from Rfam. NCBI's taxonomy places the organism in Bacteria, Bacillati, Bacillota, Bacilli, Lactobacillales, Streptococcaceae.